UACGGAGGGAGCUAGCGUUGUUCGGAAUUACUGGGCGUAAAGCGCACGUAGGCGGCUUUGUAAGUUAGAGGUGAAAGCCCGGAGCUCAACUCCGGAACUGCCUUUAAGACUGCAUCGCUUGAAUCCGGGAGAGGUGAGUGGAAUUCCGAGUGUAGAGGUGAAAUUCGUAGAUAUUCGGAAGAACACCAGUGGCGAAGGCGGCUCACUGGACCGGUAUUGACGCUGAUGUGCGAAAGCGUGGGGAGCAAACAGG
RNAcentral lists this ribosomal RNA (253 nucleotides) under uncultured bacterium. RNAcentral's name for it is "partial 16S ribosomal RNA". It matches the Rfam family "Bacterial small subunit ribosomal RNA", at positions 524 to 776 of the family's 1533-position model. The record is from RNAcentral.